Molecule: non-coding RNA, 124 nt
Organism: Jatropha curcas
Lineage: Eukaryota; Viridiplantae; Streptophyta; Magnoliopsida; Malpighiales; Euphorbiaceae
Source: RefSeq, a predicted model, not a curated record
UCUGGGGCCUGAAAACAUGAAGCCAAGGCAACUUUCUGAUGCCAAUAUGACGAGGUUGGGAAUGAAGUGAUGAGCAAACUUUCUGAUGGUGUGUGGGAAAAUAAUUAGGUUCAGGCGAUGGCAU